GCCUGUUGGGAAGCUAACAGAUGUAUAAGAAGCUCAGAAACCUCUAUUUUUCUAACUGGGGAAUCUCUUUCUCCACAGGAUCCAAGUUCAGGCAGAGGUCGGAUCCUUGUUCCCUCCCAGUAAGGAUCAAAGUCUGUUGAAACUGAGUGAUGCUUACAGUGGGAAUUAGAGCCUCAGCUUAUGACAACAGAAACUGAAGAGACUUUGCAGCUCUCCUCAGUGCAAUGGUAUUGAUUUCCAAAACUUUGAUGACUCCCUAAAACAAAGUUCCUGGAGAUCCUGGUGCUAACUUCCCUAUGGUGCUUCCACCAAAACAUGAGAGAGGUGGAAAGGAGAAGGCUUCAAGGAACAGGAGGCGUGAUGAACUUGCAGUAACUUCAAUGUCAGUUCAGGUAACCACUGAGACCCAGUGCUAGCUCCAGGGAAGUCUGUCUCCUGCUUUCUUCUGCCCACUGACAGCACCCCAGGCAUGAGGAGGGGAAACCUGGACCCGAACAGCCAAAUCAAUCUGCAUAACUAAGAAACAAAUCAUGAGAGAAACUCCCGAGGACCAGCUGAAGAUAACACAGAACCACACCUGUGCUCAGUUUUGCUUCCACAGCUCCAUCAGAUCCUCUUGAAGAAGCUGGCUGCAGAUUCCUCCAAAUACCCCCACAAGUGGCUGCUGAGAAGUUUUUCUCUUUCCCCUCACAAGGUGUCAACUGAGUUUUUGUAGGAGGUGAGGUGACAGCCUCAUCAAAGAGUUUGACUCAAUGAAAGUCUUCGUGAAAGCAUCCAACUUUCAUUCACUGAGUUUGGUGAAUGAAUGAUGCAUGGAGGAGCUACUGUUUCUUUUAGGUACAGUUUCAUGCAUUUCUUCCAGCAAGCAGAAGCCACGAACCAGAGUGAUGUGGGAAUUACCACAUAUCUGAACACAGAGUGGAAAUCUGUGACACCAGGACCCACAAACUGAUACUUUGUUGUAAAAUCCCACCCCCUGAAAGCUCUCAGAUGUAUGCAAAAGUGAAAUAAAUAAGAGAUGA
Long non-coding RNA from Cyanistes caeruleus (blue tit), 1022 nucleotides. RefSeq lists it as uncharacterized. The record is from RefSeq and is a predicted model, not a curated record. Lineage: Eukaryota; Metazoa; Chordata; Aves; Passeriformes; Paridae.